AUUUUACUUCUUGCAUUCUGCUAUUGCUUGUGUGCUUUCUAGAUGAAAGCCCUGGUAGGGCAGGGAUCGUACCAUACUGAGAGCAAAUAAAAUAAAUGAAUGUCUCCUCUCCUGCCUCUGGAUAUUACAGCAAACACAGAGCACAUUGCUGUGGCCUCCAGCCAACCCCUGCAAUUCCCCGACAAAAUAGAUCGGUUGUGGACAGCGGCAGCUAGUGAGGCACAACGUGGAAGCUUUUAAUUCCUGCUUUUUAUCAUUUUAUCUCAUCACUUUGGCAUCAUCAAGGUAGCAUUUUGGUGACCCUGAGAGGGGAAAAAACUGCUGAGACAAUCACUCUGCUUCAGAAGACUUCAGAGACAGUUGUGGCCACUGGUCUCAUUGUGUCUGAGAACCUGAUGUGAUGUGACAUUGCAGAACGGAGCUGAUGAUCAAUCUCUCUGAUGACAACAAGGAAUCCUCUCAGGUUCAAGCUCUAAUCAGGGACUACAGAGGGCAGCAGCACUGCCAAGCGCUUGGGCAGCUGCUCCCUGCCACUGGACCAGGAGGCUGAUUUUCACCAGAAACACAGAUGGAAGAGACAAGAAACUCCUGAGCCCUCAUUGUCAUCUUGGGCAAAUAGGGUGAAUGACAAGUGGGUUUUUUUUUGGAUGUGAUCAUACUUUUCUUUGCUAACAGCACUGCGGGUGGUUUCCUGGUUAGGGAAGGAGGGCUGGAUGGUGACACCCUUACAGGAACCACACAGACACUUGUCCUGUUGUGCAGCAGCCGGAGUUACCCCACUGGGUAAUACAAGUCAGACUCCAUAGAAGCAGAUCCGUGCCCAUCCUGUUGCUGUGAAUAGUUUCCAAGCAACACCUUUACAACAUGCCUAUAUUCAUAUAUAUGUACAGACGUAAAUGUAUCCCUCCAGCUCAGGAUAAACUAUGCUAGAGUCACACGUAGGUGGCUGUUAGCUCAAGCACUUUGGCACAGUCGGAAAAAGGAUGUGACAAGACAUGCUGGGGACUCCACUCCUUUUGUUUGGGCUUAUAAGAAGGGAAUUACCAGUGCUGCUUGUGACAACAAAACUGCCCAUUAGAAGCUUGAUGCUGUUGUUAGUGGAUAAAAGCAACAUUUCUAAUCCACUGAUGUCACACAAAGCAACAUGGGUUAGCUGGUGUAGCGGAGGGGGUCAUCCUUUUAAUACGAUGAUGUUCUGUGCUCACCAGAUAAAUUCAGCUGAUGAAUUCUCUAAGAAACACUGUACAGAAUGAAAUAUAUAUUCCUGCUCUGAACAUUUUUGUUGCUUGGAUAGUACUGAACAGGAAAAUUAUUUAGACUUUGUAAAGAGGCCAUUAUGAAGACCAUCAGAGAACUUGCUGCUGCUCGGAUAGAUUUUCCUGUGGCUCCCACAGGCUCCUGAAAUCCACAGUAAAUAAUAAUAUUUAUUAAUGAAAUUUAAUUUUUACCAGAUGGUAAGUAAUAGCAGUGUGUUAGGCGUGCUGUUCAAUAAUGUUCUGCUGCUGCUUUGAAUUCUCAUUACAUAGCAUGCUCCUAGAGUUGAGAAGUAACCUCAUUGUAAAGGCCUGCCUGCCUUGCUCUGCUGUGGAUAGGGGAUUUGCUGUGCAAGCCUUAUCCAAAGCCGGCAGAUGCCAAUGGAAACAGCCCUGCAUGCUGGCAGAUGAACUUUGGAGCUGCCAAAGUAGCUGAAAUAGGUACCUUUCAUCAGAGAAAAAAAGUUGUUCUGCCCCAGCAGUGCAUACCGGCCAGCAUCAGUCAUUUAAUUUGACUUCUCGUCUCCAUAUUCUUGAUGCAAGAAUAAAAAUUCAAUUAAAUAUCAAACGACCGAAAAAUGAUUUGUAAAUACUGUGCACAGCGGAGAGUUUUCUGCUUAUUUCUUGCACUAAACUGCUUACUUAUUUCCUACAAAACCUUUCGACUGGAAAUCCAGACAUUUAAAUUGAACGUAGUUCUUCCAACACAGCAGGACAGCCGCCAUAUUCCACACAAAGCCAUCUGUAGCAAGAAAAACACAACAUAAAACCCAGAUUCUGUAUUAGAAAUGUCCUCUUCAUCUUCCAUACCCUUUUCUUUGCCAUGGUGAUUCUCUUCACUUUGCUCUUUCUUACUGGUGCUGCGAAUCCAGAUGGACCGGGCACCCUGGUUUAAUUUGCUUCCUAGCAUACGUUAAUAUGUCACUACAGGAGAUACCUCAUUACCCACCUGUCAAAGGACUUGUCCAUGGUAUGGUGGCUGCUGCUUUGAUCUGUCAAUCUGCGUUUUUAGCCUUUCUCAUUACGGACUGGGCACCCGAGGGUGGGGAUUCUUCUAGGGUGCUACAACCCAACAGCUUUCAAGGAUACUUGGUUUUGAACAUUAUAUUUUUGCUGUCUCAGUUCUCAGAGGCCACAGGGCCUUGUGAGGAGCCAGGCAUGACUCUCGUCCCCACUGGGGACUGCCGAACAGCCGAAUCUCCCAUCAGAAAGAGGCCUGGAGCCUGAGGCUCCUCCUCAGGCCUUGAGCCCAGCUGAGACAGCCUCACUGCACAGGCUUGAAGCUUCACUAUGUACUGAUGGGAAGUGAAUCUUCUGGGAACAAAAGCCUUGGGUUUGAGUCCAGAAACAUACUCAGAGUCCAGCUCUUUAUGCUGGUAGGCAUUUUUACCUUGCACUUCAGCAUAGAUUUGUCUUGAUGUUGUCUGGGUCACUUCCUUGGCAAUACCUGCUGGCGGCAGGACUGAGGAUAGAGGCAAACUGAUUCCUUGAUGUCCUCACAAAUGAAUAAAAAGGUCAUUUCAAACACAGCUGAGAAAGGUUUUUCAGGCUCCUGUGAACAGCCACCAUUUAAUGCUAGGUGAUCCUGGCUCCAGAUAUUUUUCCUGAAAAUAUCCCCAAAAUAAACAUGUAGAAUCCCGUAAAAUCAGUUAACUUGAGUAAGAGCAAAUCCAAUUUUCUGCUCAUAGUAAAUAAUCUACUGAAUAAUGAACUCUUUAACUAGCUCUUGUCUUAUUUCUAAAAUAAGAGUUAACCCAAAGAAAAGAAUGGGAUGGCUUUUCCAACACACAAAGCACAGAAAUGAGUUUCUCCCUCCUUCAUAUACACAUGGAGCUCCCCCAGGAGAGCGCAAUAUCAGGAGGAGGAGGACCUCUCAUGGAUUUGAGUGCAAUCCAAUCUGGGACCGUUGCAGCCAGUCACAACAUUGCCAUUCACUUCAGCAUAUGUGGGCGCUGACUUUUAGAUGUGCAUUCUCCUUUAAAGUCCUCGCACACCAGUUAAUUGUUUGUGUGUGUAUGUUAUGUGCAUGUGGACCAGAUGCACAGAGUUGUGGACCCCAGAGAAUUUCACUGCUUUCAAAGGAUGUGAUGUAAAAUUCUGUACACUAAAUUUAUUUCUUCCCAUGCAACUGUGUACAAUCAGCUCUAAUAGGAACUUGACACUUCCUGCACGUCUGUUUUUUAAUGGAAUCUGCUAAGUUUUAUAAGGGCCAUAUUUAGCUGUACAUCCUCUCCACUGUUAACUGUAUUAUCCUUCUAAGGAAGCCAUUAACUCUUCACUAAACGCUCUUCCUAUAGCGGUUUGACAAUGCAUGCAUGGUGAAACGUGGAUCUCCGUGGGCUAAGCAGCUCUUCCAACUGAAAGAAUCAGUGAGCGCGUAUGUAAUGGGGAUAAAUGAGGAGAACCUCUAAAAAUGCAUGACAUGAUCAGCAAGUAAUUUCUGCUCGUCUGCCUUCCAACAGCUCCUAAUGCAAACUUUGUAUAUUUAAACAACUUCCCUUUUUACAGCAGGUCCUGAGACUAUUGCUCAUGCCUCUCAGAAAUGAUAUUUUCAGUUCCAUUUUCAUUCCAGCUUGAAGGAGAGAGGUGGUUUGCACGUCUUGGCUACUUCCAAAUUUGCAGCUGAAGACGCGUUCUUCAUUGCAUCAUUCUGGACCAGCUCCCACAUUUCAUCUCACGCUGUUCUGCUCUGCUUUCCCUGUACAAAGUGGAACCAUCAGCUUUCAGCUGAAACAGUCUAUUUUAAGAUAAAGGAGAAAUAAAAUGAGGAAGAUUGUAAGUGAAAACUCCAUGGAGAAGUUUACAGUGCUUCCUUUUUAUGAAAACAAACUAGAGGCUGCUUCUGGCAAAUAUGAAGGUUUUAUUAAUGGAAAUGUGUGGUAAAGAUCUUAAUCCUUGAACCUGGCACUGCUCUGUUCUGUAAAGUCUGUAUAGAGUUUACACGGGAGUUAUAAAUCAGAGAGAGGUAGCCCUGAAAUAAACAGUCUGUACUUCCUAAUGGAUAACAGUGUUAAACUGCACAGCAAAUUUUUUCCUUGCCUCUUCUGCACUUGAAUAACCAAACGUAAACAAAUUAGAAACUGCAUUUCAGCCUGUGCUCACCUGCAUCCACUUCCUUUGCAAAAGCCAAAAAAUGGACAAAUAUUGCUAUCCAGUGUGUGUUUUCUUCCUGUGGUUUGUGGGUCUAUCUUCCUCUAACUGAGGCUUGUGGAAGUAGGCAGUAAGCGAGCAGGUGCCCAGAUGUCUUCAGGGUAUCAAUGCCAGAAAGACUUCCUGCUCUGACCCUGCAGGACCCCACAGCCACUGGAGGUGGAUCCAUGUCACAACUGUUGUUGUGUUUGCACAGUCUAAGGCCUCACUCUCUUAUACCAUCCGCACCCAUGGGCUUCUCCUCCCACGAUGGCAAUAGACUGGUGUCAAAAAUAAAUGGCAGACAUGACAAAUCUUACAAGGAAAAUAGGUAUUCUGCCUACUUUUCUUGAGAAUUUUGAUGUUGAUUCUCUUUUCUCCUUUCUGGUUCCGUCCUGAGGAAGGAGAGAAUGAAUGGAUACGGUCAGACCCGCGUUUUGUGUGGAAGCAAAGAAGCACGAGGAAACUGUCUCAAGUUGUACUAAGGAAGAUUUACAUUGGACAUUAGGAAGAAUUUCUUCAUAGUGGUCAAACAAUGGAAUGGGCUGUCCAAGGAAAUGAUGGGGUCCCCCUCCCCAGAGUUGUUUAUGAGAAAUGUGGAUGUGGCACGAAGGGACGUUGUUUAGUAAAAGGUCUCAGUAUAUCAGGUUGAUAGUUGGAUUUGGUGACCUUGAAGUUGUUUUCCAACCUAGAUGAUUCCCUGAUUCUGUGAUUCUGUUUAAAUGCUGAGGUUACACAUAAACAAGGCCGGGUGUCCCAGCUGGCUGGCAGCCUCUAUUUCAGGGGGAAGAGGCAAUGGGAUGGCUGGGGAAGGUGAAAUGUUGAAAAUGUGUGUUCUGAAAGCAGACUAGUAAUGAUCCUUGAGAAGAUAUUCAUUUGUGUCUAAUGUGGCUAAGGAAAAGAAGGAAGAAGAGAAACCUGAGCAAACAAAUACAUUGUGGACAGCCCAGCAGGACUGAGUUUUACAGCCAGCUCUGCUGCCCAGGAGCAUCACUUUCCUCAGCUCAUUCCAGGACGCCUGCAGCACUCUGACCCCAGCCUGACUUGUGACUGCUCAGCCCACCAGCAAGUCUGGGGGAGUGGAGAGGAGAUGAUGGGUCCUAUCUCCAGUCUGGCCAGAGGACACCUCAAGCAGUCUCAGGCUCUCUGAAGCCACAGGGCCACACCACAUCCUUCUUCCCAAAACUGCAAAUCCCAAGGGGGCUGAUAACUAGGAAAAUCCAGAGUAAAAUAUGUAGAAACUUCUUACAGAGCUUUCCCUUCAUCUGCAUUUGUAGAAGGAGUGACCAAACUCUCAAGGUUGCUAGCCUAAAGUUUGACAUCCAUUAACAAUAUACAUUUGUUUUCAACAUCUACAUAAACAGGAUCCUGUGUACCCCGUCUCCUUUAGAGAGAAAAAUAAAAAUAAACAAAUAUCAUGUGUGUAUCCAGGAACCUCACACAGAAUGCUUGCAAAAUUAUAUGUGCCCUCUGCCUGUAAAACUCUGCUGUGCUCAGGUGUUUGUAGCAUUUGGGCCUUUGUGAGAGAAAACAAGAGAAACUCAUUGACCUCAGUAUGUCUUGGGACAAAGAUUCCUGAAGAAUUAUUGUAUAGACAAGGGAAAGAAAUUCUUUAGGUUAUUAUAGAAAUUACUGGAAAAAACAUCUUUUAAGAAAAAAAAAAUGCUUGAUA
Molecule: long non-coding RNA, 6054 nt
Filed under: Gallus gallus (chicken)
Lineage: Eukaryota; Metazoa; Chordata; Aves; Galliformes; Phasianidae
Description: lncRNA (ENSGALG00010013974.1)
Source: RNAcentral